UAGGGAAUCUUCGGCAAUGGACGGAAGCCUGACCGAGCAACGCCGCGUGAGUGAAGAAGGUUUUCGGAUCGUAAAGCUCUGUUGUCAGAGAAGAACGUUGGUAGGAGUGGAAAAUCUACCAAUUGACGGUAACUAACCAGAAAGGGACGGCUAACUACGUGCCAGCAGCCGCGGUAAUACGUAGGUCCCGAGCGUUGUCCGGAUUUAUUGGGCGUAAAGCGAGCGCAGGCGGUUCUUUAAGUCUGAAGUUAAAGGCAGUGGCUUAACCAUUGUACGCUUUGGAAACUGGAGGACUUGAGUGCAGAAGGGGAGAGUGGAAUUCCAUGUGUAGCAGUGAAAUGCGUAGAGAUAUGGAGGAACACCGGUGGCGAAAGCGGCUCUCUGGGCUGUAACUGACGCUGAGGCACGAAAGCGUGGGGAGCAAACAGG
This 429-nucleotide ribosomal RNA is filed under the name Bacillota bacterium. Its description in RNAcentral is "Firmicutes bacterium partial 16S ribosomal RNA". It matches the Rfam family "Bacterial small subunit ribosomal RNA", at positions 355 to 776 of the family's 1533-position model. Lineage: Bacteria; Bacillati; Bacillota. The record is from RNAcentral.